Long non-coding RNA from Cyanistes caeruleus (blue tit), 763 nucleotides. Lineage: Eukaryota; Metazoa; Chordata; Aves; Passeriformes; Paridae. The record is from Ensembl.
AUACCCUAAGUCUCACAGCUGUCUCUUCACUAAAUUUACAGGUUAAAUCAAGAGACAGUGCACUUGGCUUCCACCAAAGAUUGAGGUCAAGGCAUAUGUGCUCCGUUCUCAUUCCUGCCACAGAUCUGCAGGAUAAGUGUACCAGCAUGCAAUUCUGUAGAUGAACAAGGUUUCAGAUCUAUCUCCAAAACUCCUGGUGCUCCUUUUGCUAUUGUCACUUCCCUUGCUGAUCUUGCCUGGACACCUCAAGACAGUCCAAGGACAAGAUGCUGUCUAAGAGACCUGCAUUAUAAAGGUUGCCCAUCUGCACACAGCUGGAGCAGCAGUGAGAGACCAGCCCUGAAGUACACUUACUCAGAGUGGAAGGUCAUCCUGGGCACAACUGUGUUUUCUGGCAAGGUGUUUGGAAACUCCUUUGAGGUACCUGUAAUCAGGAGAACAACUUCAAAAAUGUCUGAGCCAAUUUCCCCACACUGCCUCAAACUUGGAAUAGAUAGAAAAAGAGUCAAGUUGAUUUAAUGUAUAGCUAUGGAUGCUCAUCCAGUGAGAAAUGUGAAGUUCUGUCAAAACCCUUGACCAUGCAAAACAGGUAAGUAUUAGACUACUUUGAAAAGCUGAGAUUAUUUUUAAUGCUGGGACUAGAUUUGCCUAAAGGUGCAAUCAGUAAGAGACAAAUGCCUUACCUCCUUAAUCAUGUUUGUGUUGAAAUGGAUUACUGGCUGAAAUUCAGGUCUGUGGAAGUCUGUGGAAGGCUGUUUUUGUA